This 431-nucleotide ribosomal RNA is filed under the name uncultured bacterium. RNAcentral describes it as "bacterial SSU rRNA". It matches the Rfam family "Bacterial small subunit ribosomal RNA", at positions 28 to 463 of the family's 1533-position model. The record is from RNAcentral.
GACGAACGCUGGCGGCGUGCUUAACACAUGCAAGUCGAACGGUGAGGAGGAGCUUGCUCCUCCGAUCAGUGGCGAACGGGUGAGUAACACGUGAGUAACCUGCCCCAGACCCUGGGAUAACAGUUGGAAACAGCUGCUAAUACCGGAUACGAGACGGAGAGGCAUCUCUACCGUCUGGAAAGAUUUAUCGGUCUGGGAUGGACUCGCGGCCUAUCAGCUUGUUGGUGAGGUAAAGGCUCACCAAGGCGACGACGGGUAGCCGGCCUGAGAGGGCGACCGGCCACACUGGGACUGAGACACGGCCCAGACUCCUACGGGAGGCAGCAGUGGGGAAUAUUGCACAAUGGGCGAAAGCCUGAUGCAGCGACGCCGCGUGAGGGAUGACGGCCUGGUUGUAACGUACGUUCUAGCUAGGAAGAAGCGAAAGUAGA